RNAcentral lists this microRNA (21 nucleotides) under Monodelphis domestica (gray short-tailed opossum). RNAcentral's name for it is "Mdo-Mir-430-P52_5p* (star (passenger))". Lineage: Eukaryota; Metazoa; Chordata; Mammalia; Didelphimorphia; Didelphidae. The record is from RNAcentral.
AUCCUCACUGAGGGCACUUUU